This 1162-nucleotide ribosomal RNA is filed under the name Acinetobacter baumannii. Its description in RNAcentral is "bacterial LSU rRNA". It matches the Rfam family "Bacterial large subunit ribosomal RNA", at positions 1 to 1206 of the family's 2925-position model. The record is from RNAcentral. Lineage: Bacteria; Pseudomonadati; Pseudomonadota; Gammaproteobacteria; Moraxellales; Moraxellaceae.
GUUGUAUAGUCAAGUAAUUAAGUGCAUGUGGUGGAUGCCUUGGCAGUCAGAGGCGAUGAAAGACGUGAUAGCCUGCGAAAAGCUCCGGGGAGGCGGCAAAUAUCCUUUGAUCCGGAGAUGUCUGAAUGGGGGAACCCACCUACUUUAAGGUAGGUAUUGCAACAUGAAUACAUAGUGUUGCAAGGCGAACGAGGGGAAGUGAAACAUCUCAGUACCCUUAGGAAAAGAAAUCAAUUGAGAUUCCCUCAGUAGCGGCGAGCGAACGGGGAUCAGCCCAUUAAGUUAUGUGUGUUUUAGUGGAACGCUCUGGGAAGUGCGAACGUAGAGGGUGAUAUUCCCGUACACGAAAGGGCACACAUAAUGAUGACGAGUAGGGCGAGGCACGUGAAACCUUGUCUGAAUAUGGGGGGACCAUCCUCCAAGGCUAAAUACUCCUGACUGACCGAUAGUGAACCAGUACCGUGAGGGAAAGGCGAAAAGAACCCCUGUGAGGGGAGUGAAAUAGAUCCUGAAACCGCAUGCAUACAAGCAGUGGGAGCACCUUCGUGGUGUGACUGCGUACCUUUUGUAUAAUGGGUCAGCGACUUAUAUUCAGUAGCGAGGUUAACCGUAUAGGGGAGCCGUAGAGAAAUCGAGUCUUAAUAGGGCGUUUAGUUGCUGGGUAUAGACCCGAAACCAGGCGAUCUAUCCAUGAGCAGGUUGAAGGUUGGGUAACACUAACUGGAGGACCGAACCCACUGUCGUUGAAAAGCCAGGGGAUGACUUGUGGAUAGGGGUGAAAGGCUAAUCAAGCCUGGUGAUAGCUGGUUCUCCCCGAAAGCUAUUUAGGUAGCGCCUCGGACGAAUACCAUAGGGGGUAGAGCACUGUUUCGGCUAGGGGGUCAUCCCGACUUACCAAACCGAUGCAAACUCCGAAUACCUAUGAGUACUAUCCGGGAGACAGACUGCGGGUGCUAACGUCCGUAGUCAAGAGGAAAACAAUCCAGACCGCCAGCUAAGGCCCCAAAAUCAUAGUUAAGUGGGAAACGAUGUGGGAAGGCAUAGACAGCUAGGAGGUUGGCUUAGAAGCAGCCACCCUUUAAAGAAAGCGUAAUAGCUCACUAGUCGAGUCGGCCUGCGCGGAAGAUGUAACGGGGCUAAAACUAUGUGCCGAAGCUGCGGA